This 30-nucleotide non-coding RNA is filed under the name Homo sapiens (human). The record is from RNAcentral. Lineage: Eukaryota; Metazoa; Chordata; Mammalia; Primates; Hominidae.
UGAAGAAGGACCCCGACCUUCCCCCAGUGU